UACAGAGGUCCCGAGCGUUGUUCGGAUUUAUUGGGCGUAAAGGGUGCGUAGGCGGCGGAGUAAGUUGGGUGUGAAAUCCCGGGGCUCAACCUCGGAAUGGCAUUCAAUACUGCUUCGCUAGAGUACUGGAGAGGAGGCUGGAAUUUACGGUGUAGCAGUGAAAUGCAUAGAUAUCGUAAGGAAGGCCGGUGGCGAAAGCGAGCCUCUGGACAGUUACUGACGCUGAUGCACGAAGGCCAGGGGAGCAAACGGG
Molecule: ribosomal RNA, 253 nt
Filed under: uncultured bacterium
Lineage: Bacteria
Description: partial 16S ribosomal RNA
Rfam family: Bacterial small subunit ribosomal RNA
Source: RNAcentral